This 222-nucleotide long non-coding RNA is filed under the name Lathyrus oleraceus (garden pea). Its description in RNAcentral is "Pisum sativum (pea) long non-coding RNA (PSAT_LNC033863)". Lineage: Eukaryota; Viridiplantae; Streptophyta; Magnoliopsida; Fabales; Fabaceae. The record is from RNAcentral.
UGACUUCUGCUUGAUUUUCUAAACUUCAGCCUUUGAGCUUUUGAAUUCAGAUGAGGAUUCCUUAACAAAGCCUAAACCAGACAUGGUUCCUGAUUUCUGUCCCACCUUUAGAAUUUCUUCCAAAGUGUCCGUUCCUGUAUUCAGCAUUCUGAUGGAUUUUGUCAUUUGAUCUAGCUUAGAGGUCAGCAAGGUUAUCUCACCAUUUAGAUCAUCUAUGACUGU